UAAGCCAUGCAUGUGUAAGUA
RNAcentral lists this non-coding RNA (21 nucleotides) under Arabidopsis thaliana (thale cress). The record is from RNAcentral. Lineage: Eukaryota; Viridiplantae; Streptophyta; Magnoliopsida; Brassicales; Brassicaceae.